RNAcentral lists this ribosomal RNA (923 nucleotides) under Agaricus sp. RNAcentral describes it as "partial large subunit ribosomal RNA". It matches the Rfam family "Eukaryotic large subunit ribosomal RNA", at positions 41 to 951 of the family's 3401-position model. The record is from RNAcentral. Lineage: Eukaryota; Fungi; Basidiomycota; Agaricomycetes; Agaricales; Agaricaceae.
UAUCAAUAAGCGGAGGAAAAGAAACUAACAAGGAUUCCCCUAGUAACUGCGAGUGAAGCGGGAAAAGCUCAAAUUUAAAAUCUGGCGGUUUCUGGCCGUCCGAGUUGUAAUCUAGAGAAGUAAUGCCCGUGCUGGACCGUGUAUAAGUCUCCUGGGAUGGGGCGUCAUAGAGGGUGAGAAUCCCGUCUUUGACACGGACUACCAGUGCAUUGUGGUAUGCUCUCAAAGAGUCGAGUUGUUUGGGAAUGCAGCUCAAAAUGGGUGGUAAAUUCCAUCUAAAGCUAAAUAUUGGCGAGAGACCGAUAGCGAACAAGUACCGUGAGGGAAAGAUGAAAAGAACUUUGGAAAGAGAGUUAAACAGUACGUGAAAUUGCUGAAAGGGAAACGCUUGAAGUCAGUCGCGUUGGCCAGGGAUCAGCCUUGCUUUUGCAUGGUGUACUCUCUGGUUGAUGGGUCAGCAUCAAUUUUGACCACUGGAAAAGGUCUUGGGGAAUGUGGCAGCUCCGGCUGUGUUAUAGCCCCUGGUCGCAUACAGUGGUUGGGAUUGAGGAACUCAGCACGCCGCAAGGCCGGGUUUCGACCACGUUCGUGCUUAGGAUGCUGGCAUAAUGGCUUUAAGCGACCCGUCUUGAAACACGGACCAAGGAGUCUAACAUGCCUGCGAGUAUUUGGGUGGAAAACCCGAGUGCGCAAUGAAAGUGAAAGUUGAGAUCCCUGUCGUGGGGAGCAUCGACGCCCGGACCAGAACUUUUGGGACGGAUCCGCGGUGGAGCAUGUAUGUUGGGACCCGAAAGAUGGUGAACUAUGCCUGAAUAGGGUGAAGCCAGAGGAAACUCUGGUGGAGGCUCGUAGCGAUUCUGACGUGCAAAUCGAUCGUCAAAUUUGGGUAUAGGGGCGAAAGACUAAUCGAACCAUCUAGUAGC